AUGAAUUGCCUAAGCUGGAACUAUCGGGGGACGGCCAACAAACCGACAGUUCAUGAGUCAGUUGGCAUGGUUAAAUCAUCUCAAGCUAAGAUAGUCUUUUUAUUGGAAACUAGGUAGAGUUCUGAAAAAGUGAAGCGCUUGCGUGGUAGAUUAGGUCUAAGAGGUUUCUCUAGUGUUAGUUCUAAUGGCCUUAGUGGAGGUCUAGCUCUUUUUUGGUGUGAUAGUCUGCAUGUAGAAGUUCAGUCAUCUAAUGAAAGAUAUAUUGAUGCGUAUGUGAGGCUUUCUGAUCAUGAUCCUUUGUGGCGGUUCAUGUGUGUCUAUGGCGAACCAUGA
RNAcentral lists this ribosomal RNA (333 nucleotides) under Triticum aestivum (bread wheat). Its description in RNAcentral is "partial small subunit ribosomal RNA". Lineage: Eukaryota; Viridiplantae; Streptophyta; Magnoliopsida; Poales; Poaceae. The record is from RNAcentral.